This 253-nucleotide ribosomal RNA is filed under the name uncultured bacterium. RNAcentral's name for it is "partial 16S ribosomal RNA". It matches the Rfam family "Bacterial small subunit ribosomal RNA", at positions 524 to 776 of the family's 1533-position model. The record is from RNAcentral.
UACGGAGGGUGCAAGCGUUAAUCGAAAUUACUGGGCGUAAAGCGCACGUAGGUGGUUUGUUAAGCCAGCUGUGAAAUCCCCGGGCUCAACCUGGGCACUGCAGUUGGAACUGGCAAGCUAGAGUAGGGUAGAGGGGUGUGGAAUUCCAGGUGUAGCGGUGAAAUGCGUAGAUAUCUGGAGGAACAUCAGUGGCGAAGGCGACACCCUGGACUCAUACUGACACUGAGGUGCGAAAGCGUGGGGAGCAAACAGG